RNAcentral lists this ribosomal RNA (253 nucleotides) under uncultured bacterium. RNAcentral describes it as "partial 16S ribosomal RNA". It matches the Rfam family "Bacterial small subunit ribosomal RNA", at positions 524 to 776 of the family's 1533-position model. The record is from RNAcentral.
UACGGGGGGGGUAAGCGUUGUUCGGAAUUACUGGGCGUAAAGGGCUCGUAGGCGGCCAACUAAGUCGGACGUGAAAUCCCUCAGCUUAACUGGGGAACUGCGUCCGAUACUGGAUGGCUUGGAUUUGGGAGAGGGAUGCGGAAUUCCAGGUGUAGCGGUGAAAUGCGUAGAUAUCUGGAGGAAUACCGGUGGCGAAGGCGGCAUCCUGGACCGGCAUUGACGCUGAACAGCGAAAGCUAGGGGAGCAAACGGG